AACGCACCUUGCGCUCCUCGGCCUUCCGAGGAGCAUGCCUGUUUGAGUGCCCAGAAAUUCACUCAAAGUAACAACUUGUUUGUUGCUUUGGAGCGUGGGGGUCUUUGCCUUGCCGUCAUUGGCGAGGCUCCCUUCAAAUACGUUAGCUGGCCCUUUGUAGGUCUGCCCACUGGCUUGAUAUUAAAACGUCGAUGCCGCCGGGUGACUUGCUUUUAAAGGUCGCUUACAGCCGUCCUCUUUCUGGACAAUAUUAUCUGAGCUCGGGCCUCAAAUCAGGUAGGAUUACCCGCUGAACUUAA
Molecule: unclassified non-coding RNA, 299 nt
Filed under: Archaeorhizomyces sp.
Lineage: Eukaryota; Fungi; Ascomycota; Archaeorhizomycetes; Archaeorhizomycetales; Archaeorhizomycetaceae
Description: partial contains 5.8S ribosomal RNA, internal transcribed spacer 2, and large subunit ribosomal RNA
Source: RNAcentral